GAUGAACGCUGGCGGCGUGCCUAAUACAUGCAAGUCGAGCGAACGGACGAGAAGCUUGCUUCUCUGAUGUUAGCGGCGGACGGGGGAGUAACACGUGGAUAACCUACCUAUAAGACUGGGAUAACUUCGGGAAACCGGCGCUAAUACCGGAUAAUAUUUUGAACCGCAUGGGUCAAAAGUGAAAGACGGUCUUGCGGUCACUUAUAGAUGGAUCCGCGCUGCAUUAGCUAGUUGGUAAGGUAACGGCUUACCAAGGCAACGAUGCAUGGCCGACCUGAGAGGGUGAUAGCCCACCCUGGAACGGGACCACCGUCCAGACUCCUACGGGAGGCAGCAGUAGCGAAUCUUACGCAAUGGGCGAAAGCCUGACGGAGCAACGCCGCGUGAGUGAUGAAGGUCUUCGGAUCGUAAAACUCUGUUAUUAGGGAAGAACAUAUGUGUAAGUAACUGUGCACAUCUUGACGGUAACUAAUCAGAAAGCCACGGCUAACUACGUG
This 497-nucleotide ribosomal RNA is filed under the name uncultured bacterium. RNAcentral's name for it is "partial 16S ribosomal RNA". It matches the Rfam family "Bacterial small subunit ribosomal RNA", at positions 28 to 507 of the family's 1533-position model. The record is from RNAcentral.